CUUAGCAUAUCAAUAAGCGGAGGAAAAGAAACUAACAAGGAUUCCCCUAGUAACUGCGAGUGAAGCGGGAAAAGCUCAAAUUUAAAAUCUGGUGGUCUUUGGCCAUCCGAGUUGUAAUUUAGAGAAGUGUCUUCCGCGCUGGACCGUGCACAAGUCUCCUGGAAUGGAGCGUCACAGAGGGUGAGAAUCCCGUCUUUGGCAUGGACAUACCAGGGCUUUUGUGAUGCGCUCUCGAAGAGUCGAGUUGUUUGGGAAUGCAGCUCAAAAUGGGUGGUGAACUCCAUCUAAAGCUAAAUAUUGGCGAGAGACCGAUAGCGAACAAGUACCGUGAGGGAAAGAUGAAAAGCACUUUGGAAAGAGAGUGAAACAGUACGUGAAAUUGUUGAAAGGGAAACGCUUGAAGUCAGUCGCGUCGACCGAGACUCAGCCUCGCCUCGGCUUGGUGUACUUCUCGGCUGACGGGUCAGCAUCAAUUUCGCCUCUUGGAUAAUGGCGAGGGAAAUGUGACACCUUUACGGUGUGUUAUAGUCUCUCGUCGCAUGCAAGGGUCGGGAUUGAGGAACUCAGCACGCGCCUUUGGGUGUCGGGGCUUUGCCCACGAUACGUGCUUAGGAUGUUGGCGUAAUGGCUUUAAACGACCCGUCUUGAAACACGGACCAAGGAGUCUAACAUGCCUGCGAGUGUUCGGGUGGAAAACCCGUGCGCGCAAUGAAAGUGAAAGUUGGGACCUCUGUCGUGGAGGGCACCGACGCCCGGACCAGACCUUCUGUGACGGCUCUGCGGUAAAGCAUGCAUGUUAGGACCCGAAAGAUGGUGAACUAUGCCUGAAUAGGGUGAAGCCAGAGGAAACUCUGGUGGAGGCUCGUAGCGAUUCUGACGUGCAAAUCGAUCGUCAAAUUUGGGUAUAGGGGCGAAAGACUAAUCGAACCAUCUAGUAGCUGGUUCCUGCCGAA
RNAcentral lists this ribosomal RNA (953 nucleotides) under Russula sp. RNAcentral describes it as "partial 28S large subunit ribosomal RNA". It matches the Rfam family "Eukaryotic large subunit ribosomal RNA", at positions 33 to 965 of the family's 3401-position model. Lineage: Eukaryota; Fungi; Basidiomycota; Agaricomycetes; Russulales; Russulaceae. The record is from RNAcentral.